GCCAGGUGUGGUGGCGCAUGCUUGUAGGCCCAGCUAAUCUGGAGACUGAGGCAGGAGAAUCACUUUAGCCUGGGAGGUCCAAGCUGCAGUGAGCUAGGAUCACACCACUGCAGUCCAGCUUGGGUGACAGAGAAAGACCCNNNNNNNNNNGGGUCUUUCUCUGUCACCCAAGCUGGACUGCAGUGGUGUGAUCCUAGCUCACUGCAGCUUGGACCUCCCAGGCUAAAGUGAUUCUCCUGCCUCAG
RNAcentral lists this signal recognition particle RNA (245 nucleotides) under Chlorocebus sabaeus (green monkey). RNAcentral describes it as "Metazoan signal recognition particle RNA". It matches the Rfam family "Metazoan signal recognition particle RNA". From Rfam's summary of the family: The signal recognition particle (SRP) is a universally conserved ribonucleoprotein. It is involved in the co-translational targeting of proteins to membranes. Lineage: Eukaryota; Metazoa; Chordata; Mammalia; Primates; Cercopithecidae. The record is from Rfam by way of RNAcentral.